This 409-nucleotide unclassified non-coding RNA is filed under the name Drosophila virilis. RNAcentral's name for it is "GJ16200". The record is from RNAcentral. Lineage: Eukaryota; Metazoa; Arthropoda; Insecta; Diptera; Drosophilidae.
GCCUCUACAAUUUCGUAUUGCAAUGAAAAUUAAAUCCUUAGGAUCACUUAACUCAUAACACAGUAUAACUCACAUCUGGCACCUCGCAAAAAAACUUAAGAGCUUUAGCUGUGGUGCAUGCUAUGUAUUGUGCUCCUGCAGACCAAUCAUUUAAAUGCACGCGAUAUUUCUAGCGAGAAGCGAGAAAAACAACAAUAACAUAGUAACAGCAUGCAUAAGGGACGAUAAAAUAGCAAAAUAUACAUUGGGCCCAGGCUGAUGGAGACGCAGCAAUGCUUGGCAUGGGAUAGAGUGGGGCACAGAGCGUGCCAAAAACUGGGACUGGCGCAAUCGUUUACAGGGCAUAGCUCAACUUGAAGUCGCACUAAGCUCAUCAUCCAACCUGGUGCUGGUGCAGCCCUAUUUGGAU